This 497-nucleotide ribosomal RNA is filed under the name uncultured bacterium. RNAcentral describes it as "partial 16S ribosomal RNA". It matches the Rfam family "Bacterial small subunit ribosomal RNA", at positions 28 to 507 of the family's 1533-position model. The record is from RNAcentral.
GACGAACGCUGGCGGCGUGCCUAAUACAUGCAAGUAGAACGCUGAAGAGAGGAGCUUACUCUUCUUGGAUGAGUUGCGAACGGGUGAGUAACGCGUAGGUAACCUGCCUUGUAGCGGGGGAUAACUAUUGGAAACGAUAGCUAAUACCGCAUAACAAUGGAUGACACAUGUCAUUUAUUUGAAAGGGGCAAUUGCUCCACUACAAGAUGGACCUGCGUUGUAUUAGCUAGUAGGUGAGGUAAUGGCUCACCUAGGCGACGAUACGUAGCCGACCUGAGAGGGUGAUCGGCCACACUGGGACUGAGACACGGCCCAGACUCCUACGGGAGGCAGCAGUAGGGAAUCUUCGGCAAUGGGGGCAACCCUGACCGAGCAACGCCGCGUGAGUGAAGAAGGUUUUCGGAUCGUAAAGCUCUGUUGUAAGUCAAGAACGGGUGUGAGAGUGGAAAGUUCACACUGUGACGGUAGCUUACCAGAAAGGGACGGCUAACUACGUG